CGCCGCCACUCACCCGCGCGCCGGCCGAGCCGAGCCGCCGCCGCCACCACCGGGCCGGGCCGGGUCGGGCCUGCGCGCCCCGCGCUACACAAAGUGACGGCCCCAGAGCUGCGCGGCGGCGGCGCGUGGGCACCGGAAGUGCCGCCGCCGGCCCCGCCCCGCCCGCGCACACGGGGGGGGCACUUCCGGUCACGCGGGGUCGAGCGCGGCUCCCGCAGGGGGCGUGCGUGGGGGCAAAGGAAGCUCCGCGCGUGCGGGGGAGCCUUUCGGCCCCGGCCCGCCCCGGGGGACUUCAGUGUCCCAUGCCUGGGGACCGCAGCGCCCUCUGACCCGAGACCCCAACCCCGGGGACCCCGGUGCCCCCUGCCCCGAGACCCCGGUCCCACCCCUGGGGACCCCAUCGCCCCCUGCCUCCAGACCCCAGCCACACCCCUGGGGGCCGCAGCGCCCCCUGCCCCGAGACCCCGGCCCCACCCUGAGGGACCCUGCUGCUCCACCCCUGGGCACCGCAGCUCCCGCUGCCCUGGAGACGCCGGCCCCACCCCUGGGGACCCCGGCGCCCUCUGCCCCUUGAGACGUGCGCGAGGUCCCGCGGCCCUGAGCGCGCGCGCCCCGUCCCGAAACCCGGCUCCCCUUCCUCAUCCGACCAUGAUUCAGGGAGCGGCUGCUGGCUGCCAGACCUGCCCUCGGCACCCUCCCCAGGCCCCACGACGAUGGAGGGAGGCGAUGACCCCCUACGGGGUCUCGUGGAGGCGUCCCUCUGGCCAGCGUGCUGUGAGACUCAGACGAGGUGGGGCGAUCCCUGGCCGCUGAUGGAUCGCCCAGACUGGAACCAGUGGGCCCGGGGUCCACAGCUCACCGGCCCUGCUUCCUGGGCCACUAGUGCGGGCAGGGCCAACGCUGGGUAAGCGUCGGGGAGGGUACCCCGGAAUGGGGGAGGACGAGGACUGAAGGAGCCAGUGGGCCGGGUACCUGAGUGAGUACAAUAAGGAGCGCGGAUCCCCGGGAGGGACGGGAUCAGGACGUGGGGAGGGUCCGCCUCUGGGAAGGGAAGGCAGAAGCCAUAGGUGGUCGCUGUCGGAGCUGUGAGAAGGUGAGGUCAGUGGGCUCAGGGGCCACCUGCGGCCCUCCCCCAAAUCUGUGUGCAUCCACCCCCAGGGAACCCAGCAGAGUCUGAUGGUGAGCUCUUGCUGCCACCGAGGUCGCGCCCUUUUUCAGCCUGGGUGCAGCCCCACUCAGGAAUGGUGUGGCCCCGCUCCUCCCCCAGCUCCCACCCUACGGAUACCAUUGCUCUUCUAUUUUCUGGAGUGUCCCCAGCCUUGGACCCUCAAGACAGGCAGCAACCUGGCUGGGCCCGGGGCAGGUUCACAGCUUCUCCCCUGCGGAACCUCAACCCCGACCUGGUGGACUUCUCAGGCCCACGGAGGACUCACUCCUCUGACCCGCAGAGGGCUGCAGCUCCCGCCCAAGCCAGCCUUGCCCAGCCCAAAGCGCCAGCCGCCUGCCACCUCCAACAUCUCGAUGAUUGUGUUUGGUUCCUGGUGUUUUAAAAACGGUUUAAAAUUAAUGACUAACACUUACAAAUUGAGAGUCUCUUGUAAAAAGAUUUGAAAAAUCAGAAGAUCUGGCAACACGGAGCCCGUGCUUUGCAGGGCGCCGGUCACAGGGGCUGCGAAGUGACCAGCCCCUGUGGAUGAGGCUGGACUGUGCCUCUCCCUUUAAUGCCCGCUUCUGCAUGGCGCCUCCUGUCUGGUCCUUUGAGUCUCUACGAUUUGGAGCCCCAGACGGUAUCUUAGACAGUUCUCUACCCUUCCCCCCAAAAUGGUUCCAAUAAGAGGAUCUGAAUGCAGGGUAACUAACAAGAGGAGGCCAGGUGAAGGCCAGUACCAGGAGUGGGGGCACCAGAGACUAGCCCCUGGGCCUGAAGGGGUGGGGCAGGGAUGGAGAGGGCUGGAGGAGUGGAGAUGGGGUCACCCGGUGGGAGCUGUGAUUGUGGGGGAGGAGUGUGACUACCCCGCCGCUCUCCCCCACCCCAUCCUGUCAGCACUGUCCACUGGCCAAUCCUCAUCCUAAUCUGGAGGCCAAGGGAGCCCAGGGGAUGUGGUCACAGCCAGAGCCUAGAGCCAGGUAGACAACAAUUGGGGGGCCAGGUGGGGACAGGGAAGCACCAACUCCGUCCCUGCCUUAGAACCUUCCACCUUGUCAGACAGGGACCCCACGUCACCCCAGCAUCUCCUCAGAUCUCCUCUUGGCCUGUCCCCACCUGAUACCUAACCCAGGACCCGGUUUCUUCCCCUCUCUUCUCUGCAGAGGUUUUCGAAGGCACCAGGCUCGCCCCUCAACAGGACCUGCCCUCCAUGAGGUUGUCUCUGCCCAAAUCUCCCCCUCAGCUGACUGCAGUCCUCCAGAGGCCAAGCAGAGAGCUGCUACCCGUGGGCCCCUUGGUUUCCUCCCCUCUCGAAGGGUCUCCUUCCCACAGCCCCUGGGAGCCUGUCUUUCCUCUGGUCCUGUGACAGGCAGAAUCCCCAAACCUCAUCCCGCCCAGGUCACUGAGUGAUACAGGCAUGCGGAGGCCCCACGCUCUGCCCAGUUCAGUGUCUCCCAGGUCAGUGUGAGGCUUGACCUCCCCACACCAGGUGUCCCCUCCCCUGUCCCACAGCUGUGACUUCAGGAGCAAGAUGCACUCAGGUAGACCACACACUGUUCUGUGAGAAUGAAACCCAAGCCGCUUGCUAGGAGCCCCAUAUCUGUGUUUAUUUUACAUCAAAUACAUAUGAUUCCCCGCUUUUGUGACCCCACCUGACCCCGUUCCUUCCGGGUCUGCUCUCCACCGGACCCGGGUUGCAUGCUUGAGUGUGGGCCUUGCCAACGGCCUCAGACUGGCUGAGCCUCUGCAGAUGACCCUCCCCUGGGCCCGACGUUGCCUUUGUACCUACUCGGGGUAGUGCUAGGCUGUCCCAAAUGGGCCACACCUGGGCCUCUCAAGUCCUAAAGUCAGCUGGCCUUGACCCUUCCAGCCACCUAAGUGCGGAGCUCCCAGGGUCAGGGCUGGCUGCCCCAGGCACCUGUGGGCUUGGCCCCUGAUGGGUGGGCCUCCCUUCACACGGUGCUGGAGAGCAGGGGAGCCUGGUUCAGCCUUGACUCUCCCUCUAUCCCUCCCCUUUACUCCCUCCUGCAGCCAUGUUCCGGAAAGUGCCGUGUGCUUGACUGCUUGGGUCUUGGGAAUCUCACAGUCCUGCCAAGGCCUGGCCACUGGCCCUCCCUGGCUGCCCCUUCCCGGGGGUUCUCAGGUCCUCAGCAACAUCCCUCACUCCCUCCGUGGCCAGCAGCCUGAUCCCUGCUUUUCCUCGGUUCUCAUCGGGGAUUCUUGAUCGGGGUGUGUGCUCACUCGUUCCCACGCAGCGUGUGCCUCUCACACCCAUCGAGUGCUGGGCCCCGUGCUCACUCCAGGGGUUCCUGCGGAGCUCAGGCCCUGCUGUCUAAUCAGCGGGGAGGGCCAGGGAGAUGGACGCCUUCCUGUGGGGUCCCGCGGCUCACCAGGCCCUAAGACUCGUGUGUAGAGGGGUGUGAGAACCCGAUGGGGGGCAGAAGGGCUGCGGAUUGAGGCAUGAAAGCUGAUGGGCGAUCCCAGUGCUCUUGGGGGGGAGAGGUUAGCAGGGGUGGGGACAGGCAAGAGCAAAAUGGAGCAGGCCACCAGGGCUCCCUGCGUUCCCAGGACUGCCUGUGGUGAGGGCAGGCUCAGCUGAGGCACCAGCCCCACCCACAGGGAGACGCCAUUCAGGGCCGCGUACCACGCGGGCUCCCAGAACUCAAAAUUACCAUCGUGCCUGGCAGUGGCAGAGAGCCCUUUGAUAACAAGGGUAAACGCAAAGGUGCCAGUGUUCCAUGCUAUGGAUGAUUGGGAGUCGGUGGGAUUUGAUGCCAUUUUUUGACGUUCUGGGCUGGGAUCUAUCUGUGAUCAAGUCCUGCCUCUGCGAGGGACAGCUGAUGGGCCAGAAACACGAGGAACGUCAGAGGAAGGGACCCACUCCCACUCGAGGCCUCUGCCAACAUGAGGCAGCCCUGGGAGAGAGAGAAGGCGAGUGAGCCUGUAUCAGCAGCUGGUGCACCCUCCACCCAGCUGCUUAUGAGCCAAGAGGAGAGAGGUGACUGGGAGUGUGUCCCGGAGCAAGGCCUGCCCAGGCCUGUGCACGCUGAGAGAGCAGGAGGCAACAAGAACAAGAAAAACACCCAAACUGGACAUCGCCACUCAGCCCAGCCAGCGACUGACCUGUUAGUCAGCAGCUUUUUCCCUCAAGGGCACUCAGAAGGGGCUCCCGAGGUGGGCUGGGCAGAGGGGAGCAGCAGCCCCUCCCAGACACAAGGGCUCGCCUCGGUUUGAGCUCCUCCUGCCCCGUGCUGCCUGGGGCAGGGGACAGCAGUGAGGGACUUGGGGCCUCCAGGGCUGGAGGAGGGCAGGUCCCAAAGUCCCAACUGUGAGGAGCACCCUGAGAGCCAGGAACUGAGGGAAGCAGAAAUGGGACAGGUGGCAUUUCCGCCACGCCUGAAGGACAGCUAGAGCCUGGGACACAGUGGAGGCAGGGGAGACCUGGCCGGAGCAGGGGCCUGGAAGUGGGGAGCUUGGGGCAAGACUAGGGGUCUGGAGUCAUCUUGGGGCUGGAGCCUCACAUCUCAGUGGAGGGCCCGUGGCAGCAAGCAGCCACCAAAGGCAUCAAGCACGUGGGUCAUGAUUUGCCAAGAUGGAUGGAUGGAGGUGGGGGUGGGGGGGUGCAUGGCAGGGGUUCAGGUGGGCAGCAGGAAGCUGUCCAAAGGCUAUUGAGGUAACCCAGAUGGAAACUGACAAGACUUGAAGGUGACAGUGUCUUAGUCCAUUUGGGCUGCUGUCACAAAGACACCAAAUGCUUCGCUUAAACAACAAGCAUUUCUUUCUCACAGUUCUAGAGGUUGGGAAGUCCAAGAUCAAGGCGUUGGCAGAUCCAUUGUCUGUCACCUCCACGGAUGCUGCUGGAAACCCACGGGUCCGCUGGGUCAAGGUGCCCCUCUGGCAGCGAAGACGGGGAGAGGAUACCUGUACAAACUUCCAGGACUAGAAGAGGAGCCUCUGCAAGUGAAGACCCAGGGUGGCAACGCGCUUGGGUGGCGCUCUCUGCAGGUGGCCAUCCGCAGGAACUGGGGUGCACGCAGAACCUUUGUGAAUUUCCACGCUCAGCAUGGCACGUUUCUUACCGGUGAAGAAUGGAAAAACCAGCUCCCGAAGACAAUGGCUGAGAUGUGAGGUGUAUCUGUAUUGCUGGGAAUUAAAGUCGGACUCGCA
Molecule: long non-coding RNA, 5314 nt
Organism: Equus asinus (donkey)
Lineage: Eukaryota; Metazoa; Chordata; Mammalia; Perissodactyla; Equidae
Source: Ensembl